Molecule: transfer RNA, 72 nt
Filed under: Ranina ranina
Lineage: Eukaryota; Metazoa; Arthropoda; Malacostraca; Decapoda; Raninidae
Description: tRNA-Val
Rfam family: tRNA
About the family: Transfer RNA (tRNA) molecules are approximately 80 nucleotides in length.
Source: RNAcentral
CAAGUCAUAGCUUAGUAGUAUAGCAUUUCAGUUACGUUGAAAAAGUUUACCGUGCAAAUCGGUUUGUCUUGA